Non-coding RNA from Alligator mississippiensis (American alligator), 45 nucleotides. The record is from Rfam. Lineage: Eukaryota; Metazoa; Chordata; Crocodylia; Alligatoridae.
UGACAGGCUUCUUUUGAAGCCAUAGCUGUAAACUGAAAAUAGAAG